Molecule: long non-coding RNA, 398 nt
Organism: Xenia sp. Carnegie-2017
Lineage: Eukaryota; Metazoa; Cnidaria; Anthozoa; Malacalcyonacea; Xeniidae
Exons: 3
Source: RefSeq, a predicted model, not a curated record
CCAAAAGUUGGAUUAAAGCAUGUGAUGGUGUAGGGUUUGCUUUGCGUUAUUGUUUUUAUGCAAUAUUGUUCAAUCAUUCAUUUUUAUUUAUGUGCUCGUUACUGCAAGUAUGUGCUAUGCAUAUCUACGUUGGAAGAUUGAUAUAAGUCACAAGCACAUGCUAUAAUCUGUAAAGGACAAUGGACUCCCAUAGAAUGUUUUGUGUUGCUAUUGGUCGAGGACAAACGUCUCAGCUAGGAUAAAGAAGCUGGAAUUGACAGACAAAAAUGGUUGGAAAAAACAUAAAGUCAGAAUGUUCACAUUUGCAGACAACUUUAAAAGUGCCCAAAAGUUCGCUAGAAGAGCCAUUGCCACUUCAAACAUUGAAUCAGAUGAUGAGUCAAUCAACGACAAGCCAC